GAAUUCUCUUUGGAAAGCGUUGAGGGUGACCUAUUUGAAGAUAUAAGAGCAUCAAUCCAUAGAUCCUGUGGCACUUUUACAACCGCAAGUUGCGAAUCAAUUUAUGGGAAAGCAGGUGAUUAUAUUGCAAAUUCACUAUUUGAUUUUUAAGAUAAGAACAUGGUAUUAUGUCUGUUAAUAUUGUAUGCCUUUUUCUUUUGGGGGAGUGGGGGAAGCCACUGGACAAAAAAACUAUUAUAAUUUAUGUGUAUUAUACCUAUGCUUGCUAACGUAUCUAAGAGUGCUCUUCUGGUAGCUAGUUUAUGUGAUUGUGCAUCCUGAUCUUUCUGAUGUGGUUGCUUCUUUUCAGCCUCCAAGAAGGUUAAUGUUAGUUCUCAGAACAUGGUAUGUGGCAUUUAUCAUACUGUUUUUGUAACGGUUUUGGAUGUUUAGGAUGAAAGUCUCUCAUCUUUCAAAUUUUCAGAUGAAAUCUAUGCCACCUUCUAAAAGGCAAAGCAUCAAUUGUCAAAGAUCAAAGACAAUUAAAGAGGCUUCUCUUCCUCCACAAAGUUUACAGGUAUGAAUUAAUUGAAUAGAAUCAAAUGAUUACCUUUGGUUUCAUGGAUGCACACAGCUUAUAGAUGCAUUCACUUCUGAAUUUGCGCAACUUUGUUAAUUAUUAGAGAUUAUUAAUUGUAUUUGUAGAGCUAGGUUGCUCCUUUUAGGUGGUUGUGCAUGAUGCAUAAGAAAUGUGUUACAGAAAAUGUCAAUAUAAACUGUAAUAUGGACUAACCGACUAUUGUUGAUUUUCAAAGCACAAUGCUAGAAAAGGGGAAUACUACUCGUCGCCCCACAUGCCACCCAAGAUAUUAGGCAGACUAAAUGUCGUAUCAGCAGGACAAACCAAAAGGGUGUCGUCGGGCUAUGGGAGAAUAGAAAAUAGGACCUCAAAGGCUUGUUAUGGUGAGAGAAUUUGAAUACAUAUUGAUAUAUAAACCUCUUUGUUGCAGCUUCUAAAUGAAAAAUUGGAAUAAAGGCAAUUUGAUUGUUGCAGGACAAAGUUUGAUGAUGCCUGAGCAAUCUGGUUCUGAGGACUCAUGUAAUUUUAACAAAUUCUCUACGCCACCCACAAAAUCAUCUU
This 1120-nucleotide long non-coding RNA is filed under the name Panax ginseng (ginseng). Its description in RNAcentral is "long non-coding RNA (PGIN_LNC004878)". Lineage: Eukaryota; Viridiplantae; Streptophyta; Magnoliopsida; Apiales; Araliaceae. The record is from RNAcentral.